CCGGACGGAACGCCGAAUCCUGCCGCCGUCCGGGAACCCGACCCACUCACGUACGGCAGGAGCGGGGGACCCAGGUUUACUGCCGGUCCGGAAUCCGGAGCGGCUAGGGGUUAAGUCGCCAUCACGUGCGGCCGGACAUCUCCAGUCCGAACCCGACAGCUCACCUCGCAGGCGGCGGAGAGGAAAU
This 187-nucleotide small RNA is filed under the name Streptomyces sp. RNAcentral's name for it is "c-di-AMP sequence". It matches the Rfam family "c-di-AMP riboswitch aptamer (ydaO/yuaA leader)". From Rfam's summary of the family: This family represents a conserved RNA structure found upstream of the ydaO and yuaA genes in Bacillus subtilis and related genes in other bacteria. The ydaO/yuaA element is thought to act as a genetic "off" switch for the ydaO and yuaA genes in its native state. The record is from RNAcentral. Lineage: Bacteria; Bacillati; Actinomycetota; Actinomycetes; Kitasatosporales; Streptomycetaceae.